UAUGUCCUUCUCUGUAAGUCGCUUUGGAUAAAAGCAUCUGCUAAAUGUAAUGUA
Molecule: non-coding RNA, 54 nt
Organism: Larimichthys crocea (large yellow croaker)
Lineage: Eukaryota; Metazoa; Chordata; Actinopteri; Sciaenidae
Source: Rfam